AUUGAACGCUGGCGGCAUGCCUUACACAUGCAAGUCGAACGGUAACGGGCCUUCGGGUGCCGACGAGUGGCGAACGGGUGAGUAAUACAUCGGAACGUGCCCGAUCGUGGGGGAUAACGAGGCGAAAGCUUUGCUAAUACCGCAUACGAUCUACGGAUGAAAGCAGGGGACCGCAAGGCCUUGCGCGGACGGAGCGGCCGAUGGCAGAUUAGGUAGUUGGUGGGAUAAAGCUUACCAAGCCGACGAUCUGUAGCUGGUCUGAGAGGAUGAUCAGCCACACUGGGACUGAGACACGGCCCAGACUCCUACGGGAGGCAGCAGUGGGGAAUUUUGGACAAUGGGCGCAAGCCUGAUCCAGCCAUGCCGCGUGCAGGAUGAAGGCCUUCGGGUUGUAAACUGCUUUUGUACGGAACGAAAAGCCUUCUUUUAAUACAGGAGGGUCAUGACGGUACCGUAAGAAUAAGCACCGGCUAACUACGUG
This 481-nucleotide ribosomal RNA is filed under the name uncultured bacterium. RNAcentral describes it as "partial 16S ribosomal RNA". It matches the Rfam family "Bacterial small subunit ribosomal RNA", at positions 30 to 507 of the family's 1533-position model. The record is from RNAcentral.